AUACUCUGGUUUUUCUUCAGAUCCUAGAAGUCUUUUGCCCUUGACUAAAGAUCUCUGUGAAGAGGAACAAAUCUGAGUGUUUACCCAAUUUUUUGAGGCAAAAACC
Molecule: small nuclear RNA, 106 nt
Organism: Lynx canadensis (Canada lynx)
Lineage: Eukaryota; Metazoa; Chordata; Mammalia; Carnivora; Felidae
Gene: U5
Rfam family: U5 spliceosomal RNA
About the family: U5 RNA is a component of both types of known spliceosome.
Source: Ensembl